GACGAACGCUGGCGGUGUGCUUCACACAUGCAAGUCGAACGAGGUAGCAAUACCUAGUGGCGGACGGGUGAGUAACGCGUGGGAAUCUGCCUUUAGAUGGGGGAUAACGGGUCGAAAGACUCGCUAAUACCGCAUAUGACGAAAGUUGAAAGGAGUAAUCCGUCUAAAGAUGAGCCCGCGUCCGAUUAGCUAGUUGGUAGAGUAAAGGCCUACCAAGGCGACGAUCGGUAGCUGGUCUGAGAGGAUGAUCAGCCACACUGGGACUGAGACACGGCCCAGACUCCUACGGGAGGCAGCAGUGGGAAUAUUGGACAAUGGGCGCAAGCCUGAUCCAGCAAUGCCGCGUGUGUGAAGAAGGCCUGCGAGUUGUAAAGGCACUUUUGUCGGGGAAGAAUACUCUGGACUAAUACUCUGGGGUGAUGACGGUACCUGAAGAAUAAGCACCGGCUAACUACGUG
This 458-nucleotide ribosomal RNA is filed under the name uncultured bacterium. Its description in RNAcentral is "bacterial SSU rRNA". It matches the Rfam family "Bacterial small subunit ribosomal RNA", at positions 28 to 507 of the family's 1533-position model. The record is from RNAcentral.